Molecule: ribosomal RNA, 460 nt
Filed under: uncultured bacterium
Lineage: Bacteria
Description: partial 16S ribosomal RNA
Rfam family: Bacterial small subunit ribosomal RNA
Source: RNAcentral
CCUACGGGAGGCAGCAGUGGGGAAUAUUGGUCAAUGGACGAGAGUCUGAACCAGCCAAGUAGCGUGAAGGAUGACUGCCCUAUGGGUUGUAAACUUCUUUUAUAUGGGAAUAAAAUGUUCCACGUGUGGGAUUUUGUAUGUACCAUAUGAAUAAGGAUCGGCUAACUCCGUGCCAGCAGCCGCGGUAAUACGGAGGAUCCGAGCGUUAUCCGGAUUUAUUGGGUUUAAAGGGAGCGUAGAUGGGUUGUUAAGUCAGUUGUGAAAGUUUGCGGCUCAACCGUAGAAUUGCAAUUGAUACUGGCAGGCUUGAGUACAGUAGAGGUAGGCGGAAUUCGUGGUGUAGCGGUGAAAUGCUUAGAUAUCACGAAGAACUCCGAUUGCGAAGGCAGCUUACUAAACUGCCACUGACAUUGAUGCUCGAAAGUGUGGGUAUCGAACAGGAUUAGAUACCCUUGUAGUC